RNAcentral lists this transfer RNA (73 nucleotides) under Mustela putorius furo (domestic ferret). It matches the Rfam family "tRNA". From Rfam's summary of the family: Transfer RNA (tRNA) molecules are approximately 80 nucleotides in length. Their secondary structure includes four short double-helical elements and three loops (D, anti-codon, and T loops). Further hydrogen bonds mediate the characteristic L-shaped molecular structure. tRNAs have two regions of fundamental functional importance: the anti-codon, which is responsible for specific mRNA codon recognition, and the 3' end, to which the tRNAs corresponding amino acid is attached (by aminoacyl-tRNA synthetases). tRNAs cope with the degeneracy of the genetic code in two manners: having more than one tRNA (with a specific anti-codon) for a particular amino acid; and 'wobble' base-pairing, i.e. permitting non-standard base-pairing at the 3rd anti-codon position. Lineage: Eukaryota; Metazoa; Chordata; Mammalia; Carnivora; Mustelidae. The record is from Rfam by way of RNAcentral.
GCCCAGCUGGCUGAAUUGGUAGAGCGUGCGACUCUUGAUCUCAGGGCUGUGAGUUGGAGCCCCACGUUGGGUG